RNAcentral lists this transfer RNA (72 nucleotides) under soil metagenome. It matches the Rfam family "tRNA". Rfam says of the family: Transfer RNA (tRNA) molecules are approximately 80 nucleotides in length. Their secondary structure includes four short double-helical elements and three loops (D, anti-codon, and T loops). Further hydrogen bonds mediate the characteristic L-shaped molecular structure. tRNAs have two regions of fundamental functional importance: the anti-codon, which is responsible for specific mRNA codon recognition, and the 3' end, to which the tRNAs corresponding amino acid is attached (by aminoacyl-tRNA synthetases). tRNAs cope with the degeneracy of the genetic code in two manners: having more than one tRNA (with a specific anti-codon) for a particular amino acid; and 'wobble' base-pairing, i.e. permitting non-standard base-pairing at the 3rd anti-codon position. RNAcentral also lists the same sequence under 1 other name. The record is from RNAcentral.
GCCGGAUUAGCUCAGUGGUAGAGCAACCGCCUUGUAAGCGGUAGGUCGUCGGUUCAAGCCCGACAUCCGGCU